Syzygium oleosum is the source of this 651-nucleotide long non-coding RNA. RefSeq lists it as uncharacterized. Lineage: Eukaryota; Viridiplantae; Streptophyta; Magnoliopsida; Myrtales; Myrtaceae. The record is from RefSeq and is a predicted model, not a curated record. The transcript is spliced from 3 exons.
UGCAAAACCAUCUACCAUUCUUCCAUAGCUAUCUCACAUCACAGCAGCUACUAUCCCCGACGUUGAACCUUCAAUAAAGGAAGCAUCAAUAUUGAUGUUUAGGACUCCCUGUUGCGGAUUUCGCCAAAUUUGAGUCUUCGGAAUAUGAAAUUGUUCCUUGAUUUCCAAAUAAGCCAAAGGACAGUCGCAAGUAGCUCAAAAGUGAAGGAUUGGACCAGACUUGUUUCGUCCAUGGACAGAGGAGAAAAAGAUGCUCAAUAGUUUCGGGAUGUUGGUGACAUAGCUCACACAUCGGUUCUGGUACAAUACUUCUUCUGAAUAGAUUUACCUUUGUUGGUAAUGCAUUUUGACAUAUCGCCCAUAGGAAAAAUAUGAUCUUCGGUUCUGUGUUUGCCUUCCAAAUUUUUGUCCGCAAUGCUUCGGGGGUUUGAAAUGAAGAAGAAGCCUAAUUUGGGUUUGGUUUCAAUGCAAGGUCUCUAUUUCUAUUAUAGCCACUCUUGACUGUAUAGGAUCCUGAUUUGGUAUUUAACCAAACCAGUUUGUCUUCAGUGUCAUGUGACCUCAGUGGGAUUGCAAGAAUUUCAUCGAUAAUCUGUUCAUCAAAAAGCUGCUGUAGCAUCGAUUCAUUCCACUUCGACUCCUCCUACAAAA